This 860-nucleotide ribosomal RNA is filed under the name uncultured bacterium. Its description in RNAcentral is "bacterial SSU rRNA". It matches the Rfam family "Bacterial small subunit ribosomal RNA", at positions 524 to 1380 of the family's 1533-position model. The record is from RNAcentral.
UACGGAGGGUGCAAGCGUUACUCGGAAUCACUGGGCGUAAAGAACGUGUAGGCGGUUUAAUAAGCUGGAUGUGAAAGCCUACGGCUCAACCGUAGAACAGCAUCCAGAACUGUUAGACUAGAGUGAGGGAGAGGUCAGUGGAAUUAGUGGUGUAGGGGUAAAAUCCGUAGAGAUCACUAGGAAUACCUAUUGCGAAGGCGACUGACUGGAACUUUACUGACGCUGAGACGUGAAAGCGUGGGGAGCAAACAGGAUUAGAUACCCUGGUAGUCCACGCCCUAAACGAUGUACACUAGUUGUUGCCAGGCUAGUCUUGGCAGUGAUGCAGUUAACACAUUAAGUGUACCGCCUGGGGAGUACGGUCGCAAGAUUAAAACUCAAAGGAAUAGACGGGGACCCGCACAAGUGGUGGAGCAUGUGGUUUAAUUCGAAGAUACGCGAAGAACCUUACCUGGGCUUGACAUCCCAAGAACUUUCCAGAGAUGGAAAGGUGCCAGUUUUACUGGAACUUGGAGACAGGUGCUGCACGGCUGUCGUCAGCUCGUGUCGUGAGAUGUUGGGUUAAGUCCCGCAACGAGCGCAACCCUCGUCCUUAGUUGCUAACAGUUUGGCUGAGCACUCUAAGGAGACUGCCUUCGUAAGGAGGAGGAAGGUGAGGACGACGUCAAGUCAUCAUGGCCCUUAUGUCCAGGGCGACACACGUGCUACAAUGGGUAGGACAAUGAGAGGCGAUACCGUGAGGUGGAGCAAAUCUAUAAACCUACUCUCAGUUCGGAUUGCAGUCUGCAACUCGACUGCAUGAAGCUGGAAUCACUAGUAAUCGCGGAUCAGCCAUGCCGCGGUGAAUACGUUCCCGGGUC